GGCCCCGUAGCUCAGCUGGUAGAGCACUCGCGGUAAUAAAGCGGGGGUGGUAACCAUGCGUGGGUUUGAAUCCCGCCUGGGCCA
Molecule: transfer RNA, 84 nt
Filed under: Fasciola hepatica (liver fluke)
Lineage: Eukaryota; Metazoa; Platyhelminthes; Trematoda; Plagiorchiida; Fasciolidae
Rfam family: tRNA
About the family: Transfer RNA (tRNA) molecules are approximately 80 nucleotides in length.
Source: Rfam by way of RNAcentral